AGCUUGAUGUUUCGGAAACACAAGACCUUGAACGUCCUCAAAGAUGUUCAACUCAUCUUCAA
RNAcentral lists this transfer RNA (62 nucleotides) under Dendrobaena octaedra. RNAcentral describes it as "partial tRNA-Ser". Lineage: Eukaryota; Metazoa; Annelida; Clitellata; Crassiclitellata; Lumbricidae. The record is from RNAcentral.